Long non-coding RNA from Mauremys mutica (yellowpond turtle), 1658 nucleotides. RefSeq lists it as uncharacterized. Lineage: Eukaryota; Metazoa; Chordata; Testudines; Geoemydidae. The transcript is spliced from 3 exons. The record is from RefSeq and is a predicted model, not a curated record.
UAGCUCUCCCCUGCUCCCGUCUGCAGAUGGUAAAGGGCUACUUGUAUGGUGAAAAGGUGGUGGGAGAACAACCUGUAAAUAAACUGCACCAGUGGUUACUGAACCCAGGGUCUCCAUGUAACUUUAUCAGCUCAACAGGGGCAGGAGCCAAGAGGGCCCUGAAGCACCUUGUUAGAUGUGGGGGCUUGUCAGGGAUAUCUUUGCCCGAGCAAGAGUUUGGCAGCCUAGAGAUGGAGGAGAUCCUGCAGUGGUUGGUAAAGCAGCAAGAAGAGGUGCAAAAGGCUAUGCAAUCCUUUUAGUAGUCCCACCAGCUGGAGAGGCAAGCCUUGCUCAACUGGCAAGCCAAGCAGUAGAAGAGCCUUCAGGACUUUAUACGCGAGCAGGCCAGCAUACAACAGCAGCUUCUCCAGAAGAUGCAGUAUUACUUAUUGAAGAGGAAGCCGCCAGGGCAGGGGACUGGACUCGAUGACCUCUCGAGGUCCCUUCCAGUCCUAGAAUCUAUGAAUCAUGAAAAUUGGACAAUGCAAAUGGAACCUAAAGAAUAUGCUUUGCCAGUUAACAGUAAAAUUAGGAAACAGUGAACCUGCUGAAGGGGAAAAUUAUAUAAAUGCGCACACAUGCUAAUGGAGCUCCAAGCAGAUUUUAAUGCUCUGAGGAAGUCACUGAAGAGUCUAGAGCAAAAUUACCUUCAGCACCCAGCAAGGGGGUAGUAAAGUGUGAGGCAUCUUCACCUGCCUCCUCAGCAGCAGCUGCUACCAUUCCAGGAACCCUACAGUGGAGAGAAGAGAUGAUGUUUUUUGGUUUUUUUUCCAGGCUGUUUUCUUAAGUUUAUUUUUGUUCACCCAUGGGUCUCUCAGCAACUAAAAAAAAGAAAUCGCUGUCCCCUGAAUUCAGCGCUGUUCCUCAGUACAUCUGAACCAUCCCAGAGGAGCUCACAGAUUUCCAGGAAAUGUGCUAAAUUUCACAAAUAGGAUUUUCUUCUGCAUUCUGAAUUGAUUCACUAUUGUACUGUUACACAUCAGUUAACCCCAGCAGCACUGGCAUUCCAGCCUAUGCCACCACAUAAGGGGGAACGUCACUAAAAUAAUCCCUCUAAGACAAACAGAAAUAGAGAUGGAAGUGGGGGCAAGGAAUAUUCUAUCCACCUGUUGUUCUUGGUAGGCUGAGGCAAUCGAUCAAUAACUUGGCUGAGUGAACCAGUCGUGUCCAGAUGGGUAGAACUGUCCAUGGGCUCUGAAAACAUAAUAGGCCAUUAGAAUGGAAGAGAGGCAAACUUCUGACUAUAGGGACCAACACUGAGGAGUGAGGAAGUCAGCAGCGCUCUGACAACAACAGCUCACUGUCAUACUUGCUUAGCCCACUCACCCCUUCCAUGGUCACAUGCCUUGAUACUGAGCUCUUCACAAUGAUUCCCAAAGCCCUGGUACCAUCCUCUCCAAAGCCAGCAACCCCCAAAUGUCUCAUCAACACAAGUAUUGCUCUAAAACUCAUUAUCCUGCAACCAGAGAAUGUUAACUUCUCGGAGAUAAAUAAAAGGUAAAGUUACUUGUGCUCCCUCACCUGCGAGCGGCUUUUCCUCAAGGCCUCUGUCUUCUCCUCCUCCACCAGCAGCCAGUUUGCUACCCUGAGGGCUGGUCAUUAUCUCCUGUAAAACACAU